Non-coding RNA from Arachis ipaensis, 1799 nucleotides. The record is from RefSeq and is a predicted model, not a curated record. Lineage: Eukaryota; Viridiplantae; Streptophyta; Magnoliopsida; Fabales; Fabaceae.
GCUUGAUUAUAUUGACAGCUUGUAGAGGAAAAAUGCCAAGAAGUGGAAGCCAGAGCUAGGGAGCUUGAUAAAUAGGUUGCUUCUCUUAGAGAAGGUGUAUCCCUAGAAACCAAACUUCUGAGCAGAUUGAACCUAUUCGUAAUCUUUUUGCUGCUCUUUUCCUAGCCAGCAUUGGAAUGUUGAUUCAUGUUCAUUUUCUCUGGAACCAUGUUGACAUUCUGGUAGCAUCUGGUAGUAUCUGGAACUCAUGUUCAUUUUCUCUGGAACCAUGUUGAUUCAUGUUCAUUUUCUCUUCUCAGUCGUGCUUCUAAUCUUUAUCUAGUUGAGGGUAAACUAUAUUUGCUGCUUCUUGGGACCACAUCUCUUAGUCUGGUACGAAACAUUUUUAUAUAUUUGAAUUAACAGCUACAGGGAUCCAUAACUGAUCCAUAAUUGGGGGUUAUAGUCUUGCAGAUUUUGAAAUGCUGUGAACAUGGCAAUAUACACAUAUAGCUGAUAAACUUGGUGCAAAGAAAUGGAUAGGACAAUAAAAACUUCUCUGUCUUUCAAAGAGAUUGUUCUUUCAUUAAAAAGAAAGUUUGAAUUGAAUGUCAAUGUUAGACAAGUUUUGAUGUGGGAAAAAUUAUCUAUUCUUCAAUAUUGAAGUUUACCAAGAUCAAGUAUUUAAGUCUGAAAAACGUAAAGUAUAUCAUAAGCUGUCAUCAGUUUCAAUGCUUUGAAUUCAAUGAUACUGCUAUUAAUUUAUUAUGAAUGCAUAAUCCCAUCAAUAAUUUCUCAGCUAAUUUCUGCAGGUAACAACUCCUUUACUUUACUAUAUGUAGAAUCCCAUCAGAUAUUCAGUCAUAUUUUGCUACAUUUGUAAAAGUAGUUGUGUUCAUGCUUGCUACUUGAAUGGUUUGGGUAAAAGAUUGAAUUUGAUAGAAUAAGAGAAUACUAAUGUGGGUGUAAAAUUAUUUUUUAAACUAACAUCUAAUUAGGUGUUUUAUAUAGUUAAAAGCAACUUCUUUUUGAGAUAUUUGGUGUGAAAAUGAACUGUUUUUCUUUUUUCCUUUUUAAUUUAUCUGUAAGAUCUUAUUGGAUGUAAUACAUGAAAAUUAAAUUAUUAUUCCCGAAUGUCAUCCAUUUUCAUAUCUUUUUGUUUCGUAUUAAAUUUUUGGAUUAAUUCUUCUCCCGCCCCUGUAUUAGUCAAGGGACAUUUAUUUCCUACAAAAGCUUCUGAAUUUGAAAGGACAUGAUGGUUUCAGAAUGAAUGAAGUGCUUGUGUCAUUGUGGUACAUAAUGGGUUUGUGGCCCUUGGCCUAUAGCAUGCUGCUACUUCCUACAGGAAGGAGCUCAAAAAGCAAAGUUCCUAUUUGGCCCUUCCUUUUACUUUCAUGUUUUGGCGGUGCAUAUGCGCUUCUUCCUUAUUUCAUACUUUGGAAUCCACCAGCACCUUCGAUUGAAGAAACUGAGCUUAAAUCAUGGCCAUUGAUCUUUCUUGAAUCAAAAGUAACUGCAGUGAUCGGAUAUAGUAAGGUAGACAUCCUCUGCUCAGAAAGUGGAAAGCAGCGAAUAAUUUUGAUGGACCAAGAAUCUCAAGAGGCAAGUAUAUUGCCAUCAUCACUAAGAAGCUCAAGAAAGAAUGAAGCUAUCCAUAAAUUAGGAUAUUGAAUCUUGAUGAGUCUACUAGUAGUUACUUGUCAUCUAAUGUAUUCAAAUUGUAUUAUUGUAUGGAAAUAAUUGCUUCUUAUUAUAAAGAAAGCGCUUUGUACUCACUGGUGUGUUUUUCUAUUUAUACCAUCAAUAAAAAUUUGUAUUUA